AGAAGGGACUGAAUCUUAGGAAGAAAGAUCAUCUCCACCACUGGGUGAAAAACACAACCUUACUAGGUGGCUGGGCCUGCUGUAGCCGGACCUGUAGAGGAGCAUCUAAGUUGCUUGUUUACCAUCAUGAAAACGGCUGAUGACCAGACUCUGCAUAUGAAGAAAACUGAAGCCCCUCAGCAUCAAUGUGAGAUUUGCCAUCGCCCAUUUUCUGACAAGAGGAUGUUGAGAAAUCAUCAAGAAUCUGUUCAUAAGAAAGUGAAGCCUUUCCUUUGUAAUUACUGUGGGUAUUCAACUGCUUCUCGCUCCACUCUCAAGAUGCACAUGCGGCAGCAUACAGGUGAAAAGCCAUUUGCAUGUGAAAAGUGUAAGUACCGCACUUCUGAUCACAAUUCUCUGCGGCGACACAAGAUGCAGCAUUCAGGUGUUCGGCCAUAUCGCUGCCCCUACUGUGACUAUGCCUCCAUUCAGUCCACCACCUUUAAAGUUCAUCUUAAGGAUAAGCAUCCUGGCCUGGCUCAGAUAGAUGGCAUCAUGUUCACAUGUGGUGUAUGCUCCUUCAAAACUGUAAAGCGAGACAAUUUUCUUGCACAUGUAGCAGAGCACAGCAAAGGAGAAGGCAAGAAACGACAACCAGUCUCCCCAGCUUCAGUCAGCAAGACUGAGGAACCUCCGGGUAUUUAUGGAGAUUUGGCACCAUCUGCUCCUCACGUUGUCAAUAUUGAUGUUGAAAGUGGCAGAGUUACUGUUGAGAGUCCACAGGACUCAGAUUUUCUCAGUUCUGUCCAUAUGCAGGCACCAGUUCCUGGACAAGUGAUCAUGGCAGGUGACAAGUAUAUAUAUGCUGCAGUGGAUUCCUCUGUUCUAUCCCAGCUUCAAUCGCAGUUCCUCCAGUCUGGCAGCUGACUAGACACUAUCAGCAAUACUGCUUGCUGGACUAGAUCGUCGGGAGCCUCCCCUGCUUCCGAUACUUCUGCCAGGGCUAAUGCGUCCCACAUCACCUUCACUGGGACUGCCACGUCCGUUAUCCCGAGACAUACGUGCCUCCCCACUGACCCCGCGCACGGCCAACGACUCAUCAUUCAAACGUAGUGAGAUCUGGUGAGAGAAUAGUACAACUGUCUCAGGAUGUGGUUGGAGUUCCAUUAACUCUUCCUUUGGAGACCACAGCCUCCCCUUUGCAGGGCUUGGUUUAUGUGGCCACCAACAGUCAGG
RNAcentral lists this unclassified non-coding RNA (1215 nucleotides) under Portunus trituberculatus (swimming crab). Its description in RNAcentral is "zinc finger protein 64-like, transcript variant X1". Lineage: Eukaryota; Metazoa; Arthropoda; Malacostraca; Decapoda; Portunidae. The record is from RNAcentral.